RNAcentral lists this ribosomal RNA (443 nucleotides) under uncultured Rikenellaceae bacterium. RNAcentral's name for it is "bacterial SSU rRNA". It matches the Rfam family "Bacterial small subunit ribosomal RNA", at positions 941 to 1382 of the family's 1533-position model. The record is from RNAcentral. Lineage: Bacteria; Pseudomonadati; Bacteroidota; Bacteroidia; Bacteroidales; Rikenellaceae.
GUGGUUUAAUUCGAUGAUACGCGAGGAACCUUACCUGGGCGUAGAACGACAUUCGGAAUCAGGCCGAAAGGCCUGCGCCAGCGAUGGCCGCUUGCGAGGUGCUGCAUGGUUGUCGUCAGCUCGUGCCGUGAGGUGUCGGGUUAAGUCCCAUAACGAGCGCAACCCCUACUGCUAGUUGCCAGCGGGUCAUGCCGGGGACUCUAGCGGAACUGCCAGCGUAAGCUGCGAGGAAGGUGGGGAUGACGUCAAAUCAGCACGGCCCUUACGUCCAGGGCUACACACGUGUUACAAUGGCCGGUACAGAGGGCAGCCACCCCGCGAGGGGGCGCGAAUCCCGAAAGCCGGUCCCAGUUCGGAUCGGAGUCUGCAACCCGACUCCGUGAAGCUGGAUUCGCUAGUAAUCGCGCAUCAGCCACGGCGCGGUGAAUACGUUCCCGGGCCUU